RNAcentral lists this ribosomal RNA (333 nucleotides) under uncultured Bacillota bacterium. Its description in RNAcentral is "bacterial SSU rRNA". It matches the Rfam family "Bacterial small subunit ribosomal RNA", at positions 28 to 351 of the family's 1533-position model. Lineage: Bacteria; Bacillati; Bacillota. The record is from RNAcentral.
GACGAACGCUGGCGGCGUGCCUAAUACAUGCAAGUCGAGCGAACUUUUAAAAGCUUGCUUUUAAAAGUUAGCGGCGGACGGGUGAGUAACACGUGGGCAACCUGCCUGUAAGACUGGGAUAACUUCGGGAAACCGGAGCUAAUACCGGAUAAUGCUUCUCCUCUCAUGAGGAGAAACUGAAAGAUGGUUUACGCUAUCACUUACAGAUGGGCCCGCGGCGCAUUAGCUAGUUGGUGAGGUAACGGCUCACCAAGGCGACGAUGCGUAGCCGACCUGAGAGGGUGAUCGGCCACACUGGGACUGAGACACGGCCCAGACUCCUACGGGAGGCAG